UUGGUGUGAGGAAACAGUCGGUAUGGCUCGCGUAUAAGGAGAAAGCCACUUAGCUUUGACAUACUCGGCUUUUCUCCACGGUGGAAUAUGCAUGCCCUUCUUCUUGAGGCUCUGCCUCGCUGCAUUUGAUACGACAGAUACGAUCUUCUGGAGGCGAUCGGCUUUCCCCACAAAGAUGUGGGGUAGAGAUUGGAGGAGAGAUUUGUAGGCCUUGGUUGAUCGAGC
RNAcentral lists this unclassified non-coding RNA (225 nucleotides) under Hevea brasiliensis (rubber tree). The record is from RNAcentral. Lineage: Eukaryota; Viridiplantae; Streptophyta; Magnoliopsida; Malpighiales; Euphorbiaceae.